This 492-nucleotide ribosomal RNA is filed under the name uncultured bacterium. Its description in RNAcentral is "partial 16S ribosomal RNA". It matches the Rfam family "Bacterial small subunit ribosomal RNA", at positions 29 to 507 of the family's 1533-position model. The record is from RNAcentral.
AGUGAACGCUGGCGGUAGGCCUAACACAUGCAAGUCGAACGGCAGCACAGUAAGAGCUUGCUCUUACGGGUGGCGAGUGGCGGACGGGUGAGGAAUACAUCGGAAUCUACUUUUUCGUGGGGGAUAACGUAGGGAAACUUACGCUAAUACCGCAUACGACCUACGGGUGAAAGCAGGGGAUCUUCGGACCUUGCGCGAUUGAAUGAGCCGAUGUCGGAUUAGCUAGUUGGCGGGGUAAAGGCCCACCAAGGCGACGAUCCGUAGCUGGUCUGAGAGGAUGGUCAGCCAACCUGGAACUGGGACACGGUCCAGACUCCUACGGGAGGCAGCAGUGGGGAAUAUUGGACAAUGGGCGCAAGCCUGAUCCAGCCAUACCGCGUGGGUGAAGAAGGCCUUGGGGUUGUAAAGCCCUUUUGUUGGGAAAGAAAAGCAGCAGGUUAAUACCCCGCUGUUCUGACGGUACCCAAAGAAUAAGCACCGGCUAACUUCGUG